Molecule: small nuclear RNA, 135 nt
Organism: Otolemur garnettii (small-eared galago)
Lineage: Eukaryota; Metazoa; Chordata; Mammalia; Primates; Galagidae
Source: Ensembl
AAAAAGGGCUUCUGUUUUAAGUGGCACAUAUGGGGCAACUCAACUUCUCUUAGUGCAGAAUCGACAUCAAGAAAUUUUGGAAGCAUAAUUUUUUUGGUACCUGGAUAGCUGGUGUUCAUUGGUCCCAGCAUCCAC